RNAcentral lists this transfer RNA (70 nucleotides) under Elateroidea sp. 7 KM-2017. Its description in RNAcentral is "tRNA-Lys". The record is from RNAcentral. Lineage: Eukaryota; Metazoa; Arthropoda; Insecta; Coleoptera.
CAUUAGAUGACUGAAAGCAAGUAAUGGUCUCUUAAACCACACUAUAGCAGGAUAGCAUCUGCUUCUAAUG